CUCGCACUGACAAUGAAUGGGCCAAAUAGUUGAGGUAAAACAGUAAAAUCACAUCUUUCAACUAAUAAAGAUAAAAAAGAAAAAUAGUCAAGAUGGUGAUCAUGUAUAGUCAAUUUGUACGGUCAAGUCCUGUAUUCCUAAUUCAUGGUAUAGGUCAUGCACAUAUUGCAAAACAGGCCAAUCGUCAACUCCCUCCUUUACCUGCAAUGCAAUUGAUCCAAUAACAUGACCAGGCACAAGUUCCCAGAAACGAGCUUGAGAUACUUCUGAAACGUCUUCACGAGAUGAAACCUGCCUCCAGCAUUUGCUCCAGGCUGAAGAUGGGAUCCUUGGUGGAGCCAUUUGGAGCAAGAUGCCACCAGUAGUUCUAAAAAGUGGCAUGACGAGGAAAAAGACAGUGGCAGAAACCAGUCCCAAACAUAAGACUUCGGCAUUCUUUACUCCAAGUGUUAACAACCAGGAAGCCAGGAUGAGGCCUGCGAAUGGAAUCAGCUAGCACAUGCAAGCAGACAGAG
This 515-nucleotide unclassified non-coding RNA is filed under the name Hevea brasiliensis (rubber tree). The record is from RNAcentral. Lineage: Eukaryota; Viridiplantae; Streptophyta; Magnoliopsida; Malpighiales; Euphorbiaceae.